Molecule: small nuclear RNA, 165 nt
Filed under: Suricata suricatta (meerkat)
Lineage: Eukaryota; Metazoa; Chordata; Mammalia; Carnivora; Herpestidae
Description: U4 spliceosomal RNA (ENSSSUG00005012162.1)
Rfam family: U4 spliceosomal RNA
About the family: U4 small nuclear RNA (U4 snRNA) is a component of the major U2-dependent spliceosome. The structure of U4 snRNA from yeast and human has been reported.
Source: Rfam by way of RNAcentral
AGCUUUGCACACUGGCAGUAUUGUAGCCAAUGAGGUUUGUCUGAGGCAUGAUUAUUGCUACUUGAAAACCUUUCCCUACUCAGAUGACCCUUACCCACUAGGCAUGCAAGAAAUUUCACCUUGUUUCAAAAGUUUAUAACAAAUUUCUGCACUUUAAAAUAUUUA